UUCCAGACUCCUACGGGAGGCAGCAGUGGGGAAUAUUGCACAAUGGGGGGAACCCUGAUGCAGCGACGCCGCGUGGGUGAAGAAGCGCCUCGGCGCGUAAAGCCCUGUCAGCAGGGAAGAAAAUGACGGUACCUGAAGAAGAAGCCCCGGCUAACUACGUGCCAGCAGCCGCGGUAAUACGUAGGGGGCAAGCGUUAUCCGGAUUUACUGGGUGUAAAGGGGGCGCAGACGGCGAUGCAAGCCAGGAGUGAAAGCCCGGGGCCCAACCCCGGGACUGCUCUUGGAACUGCGUGGCUGGAGUGCAGGAGGGGCAGGCGGAAUUCCUGGUGUAGCGGUGAAAUGCGUAGAUAUCAGGAGGAACACCGGUGGCGAAGGCGGCCUGCUGGACUGCAACUGACGUUGAGGCCCGAAAGCGUGGGGAGCAAACAGGAUUAGAUACCCGAGUAAG
Molecule: ribosomal RNA, 448 nt
Filed under: uncultured bacterium
Lineage: Bacteria
Description: partial 16S ribosomal RNA
Rfam family: Bacterial small subunit ribosomal RNA
Source: RNAcentral